UAUGUCAUGUUAUCAGAAUUACCUACAUGGCAGCUCAUUUAUUUUUUAUGAAACUACCUGAGAAUGAUCUAAGACCAAUCUUAGUAGACAGUUUCAUUGCACAAUUAUCAAGACUGAGAACUUGGUAAUUGUGUCAGUUGAGUGUUGAUGAAACUUCUCUCUUAUGAUGAAACUUCCCCUCAUAAAACCUCACUAGCACAUAAAACCCACUUGGCACAGUUAUCAAGUUCUAUAAAAUCUAAUGAAACCUGCACUAAACAUGUUGGUUUCA
RNAcentral lists this long non-coding RNA (271 nucleotides) under Setaria viridis. RNAcentral's name for it is "long non-coding RNA (SVIR_LNC002093)". Lineage: Eukaryota; Viridiplantae; Streptophyta; Magnoliopsida; Poales; Poaceae. The record is from RNAcentral.